This 299-nucleotide unclassified non-coding RNA is filed under the name plant metagenome. Its description in RNAcentral is "partial contains 5.8S ribosomal RNA, internal transcribed spacer 2, and large subunit ribosomal RNA". The stretch from base 1 to 105 matches the Rfam family "5.8S ribosomal RNA", at positions 50 to 154 of the family's 154-position model. The record is from RNAcentral.
GAAAUGCGAUAAGUAAUGUGAAUUGCAGAAUUCAGUGAAUCAUCGAAUCUUUGAACGCACAUUGCGCUCGCCAGUAUUCUGGCGAGCAUGCCUGUUCGAGCGUCAUUUCAACCAUCAAGCUCUGCUUGCGUUGGGGAUCCGCGGCUGCCCGCGGUCCCUCAAAAACAGUGGCGGGCUCGCUAGUCACACCGAGCGUAGUAACUCUACAUCGCUAUGGUCGUGCGGCGGGUUCUUGCCGUAAAACCCCCAACUUCUAAGGUUGACCUCGGAUCAGGUAGGAAUACCCGCUGAACUUAAGC